UACGUAGGGGGCUAGCGUUGUCCGGAAUCAUUGGGCGUAAAGAGCGUGUAGGCGGCUUGUUAAGUCUUGCGUGAAAUCUCGGGGCUCAACCCCGAGCGGUCGUGAGAAACUGGCAGGCUAGAGUGCGGGAGAGGAGAGUGGAAUUCCUGGUGUAGCGGUGAAAUGCGCAGAUAUCAGGAAGAACACCUAUGGCGAAGGCAGCUCUCUGGGACGGUACUGACGCUGAGACGCGAAAGCGUGGGGAGCGAACAGG
This 253-nucleotide ribosomal RNA is filed under the name uncultured bacterium. RNAcentral's name for it is "partial 16S ribosomal RNA". It matches the Rfam family "Bacterial small subunit ribosomal RNA", at positions 524 to 776 of the family's 1533-position model. The record is from RNAcentral.